Molecule: non-coding RNA, 73 nt
Organism: Phlegmacium glaucopus
Lineage: Eukaryota; Fungi; Basidiomycota; Agaricomycetes; Agaricales; Cortinariaceae
Source: the annotation of a GenBank genome assembly
UCUUCGCUAGUAUAUCGGUUUAGUACACGCGCCUGUCACGCGCGAAAGCUGGGUUCGACUCCCAGGCGAAGAG